Molecule: long non-coding RNA, 334 nt
Filed under: Capsella rubella
Lineage: Eukaryota; Viridiplantae; Streptophyta; Magnoliopsida; Brassicales; Brassicaceae
Description: long non-coding RNA (CRUB_LNC004465)
Source: RNAcentral
AGGAAAUGAAAUCAUACUGCAAAAGCUUUGACUUUUCCAUCGAAAGCAAAGAACGUCUCAUGCUAAAGUCACAAUUCACAAUUUAUGCAAUUUAACGCAAGUCAAGUCCGAGAUUAGUAGGGCGUUAGAGUCGUCUUCAUCAUUAAUGCGUUGGUUCGUUUUUUUUUUUUUUUCUUUUUAUGGACUUUAGGUGUGAAACUAUGAAACUAAUGGUAAACUUUCCAUAACAAAUCUAAACGCAUUGACAACAAUAGAGUUCUAAAUCAAAUAUAUAUAAAAUACGAUGAACAUAUAACCAAAAAAAAUAAAUAAAAAGUUACAGCGGGGAGGAAUG